GACGAACGCUGGCGGCGUGCCUAAUACAUGCAAGUCGUGCGGACCUUGUUGAAAGCUUGCUUUUAAAAGGUUCGCGGCGGACGGGUGAGUAACACGUGGGCAACCUGCCUGUAAGACUGGGAUAACGCCGGGAAACCGGGGCUAAUACCAGAUCGUUUUUUCCUCCGCAUGGAGGAAAAAGGAAAGGCGGCUUCGGCUGCCACUUACAGAUGGGCCCGCGGCGCAUUAGCUAGUUGGCGGGGUAAUGGCCCACCAAGGCAACGAUGCGUAGCCGACCUGAGAGGGUGAUCGGCCACAUUGGGACUGAGACACGGCCCAAACUCCUACGGGAGGCAGCAGUAGGGAAUCUUCCGCAAUGGACGAAAGUCUGACGGAGCAACGCCGCGUGAGUGAAGAAGGCCUUCGGGUCGUAAAACUCUGUUGCCGGGGAAGAACAAGUGCCGUUCGAACAGGGCGGCGCCUUGACGGUACCCGGCCAGAAAGCCACGGCUAACUACGUG
This 500-nucleotide ribosomal RNA is filed under the name uncultured bacterium. Its description in RNAcentral is "partial 16S ribosomal RNA". It matches the Rfam family "Bacterial small subunit ribosomal RNA", at positions 28 to 507 of the family's 1533-position model. The record is from RNAcentral.